This is a long non-coding RNA of Podarcis raffonei (Aeolian wall lizard), 1526 nucleotides long. RefSeq lists it as uncharacterized. The transcript has 3 exons. The record is from RefSeq and is a predicted model, not a curated record. Lineage: Eukaryota; Metazoa; Chordata; Lepidosauria; Squamata; Lacertidae.
CAAAACCCAUGAAUGCCGUUGCGUCCAAUUGCAAGGGCUGGUUUCGCUUCCUUCUGCACAAUUAUUUGCACAUCUGUUCAGAAAAUGGGAUUAAACUCCUGGGAUUGUAAACCCUAAUUUGCAAAAGUCCGGCUACACAUACACUUUUUUUUUUAAAUCACAUAUUGCACCCUCUUCUGAACCAUAACACAUUUAAAUAUAACUUUUGUUUUGCUUAAUUGCUUUGAGUAUUAAAAAAAAAAAUCCUUCCGUUUUGCUAGUUUGGGCUGGUCCUGAAUCUCUAGGAUAAAAGCCAAGAACAGUUCAAACUCAUUAAGAGAGUUUUGAAAUAUUAAGCGGUAUACAGCAUAAAUGCUUCUAAAUAAAUAUAUGCAUUACCAUUUAUAUUUACAUAAUUGUUACUUUUAAAUGUUAAACUUCUGGAAGAGGCAACUGUUCCACAAUGGGGAAAUGUUCCUUAAGCUAAAUUCUUUUCUCUUAAGUACCUAUCUCCAAAAGAAAUCACCUUUCCCCUUAGGUUUUCCUAUCCUAACUUUACAGUUGUUGCAAAAAUAAAAGAACAAUUUCCUCUCAGGACUUCCAUGUAUUAUAGAAUAUAUUGCUGACAUAAUGCUGUCAGCUGCAUCAAAUUCUUUUGCUGGCUAGCUCACUGGGCUGUUUUGAAGAUUUUUUUAUUUUAUGGAUUUUUGCGGCUUCUGCAAGUACAUGGAUAGCUCCACUGUUUCUUGGUGACUCCAUUUGGACAACAGUCCUAUCCAUACUUUCCCACCAAAGCUUGCUAUAGCGAUGGCUGGGUGGAAAGCUGAAGUGACUUCUUGUAGAACAGAAGUCUGCCAUGCAGCACAGUCCAGGCACAGAAGAGGAAUUCACAUGAUGUACUCCAGCUCUACUAUUUAUGAUCACCACUAGCUAUGAAAGCUUGAGUUCCUUGGGACAUUCCUCACACCACUGGGCGAGCUCAGUGCUGAAAUCUUGAGAUCUUGUGAGUUUUUGAUUGUAGGAGUUCAAGCACACCUAUAAUAUAGUCUGCAAAUGACAAUCUUACCUUUCAACGUCAGUGAUGUUCCGUGGGCUUUCUGUGUUUGCUUCUGUUCAAAGAUGCUGACCACUUCUGCUCAUUUGGAGCAUGUCAUGUUGCGUACCAACUUAACUAACCUCCCUGUGCCUUUUUAAAAGAUCAAAGUUCUUGUAGUUAUGUUCCCCAAUUUCCCAAACUAUGAUUUGUAUAUAGCAGACAUGUCCAACUUCCAAUAGGCUGCGAUCUAUUAAAAAAUGGCAGUGAGCUACCCAUUGGAUUGACCAGAGUUGCUGAGCUUUUGUUGGGAAAGCAUCAAAGUUGUUGAGCUUUGGGGGGGAGGGGGGCAUGAUCCCGCGAUCAACCAGGGACAUACUGCAAUCGACCGGUAUAUGGUACUUUUCCUUUCUACAUUUAUCCAGCUGAAGUGUGUGUUAUGAAUGAUGUCUGGUAUGGUAUUUAUAGUUGUAACAUAGAAGGGCAGAAGUAUUUGGGUUUCCUACAAUUCAUU